CUCCAUCUAAGUUUUUGAAUAUAUGGAUCUAAAUCAGCGUGAGCAACAUAACAAUAGGAACCAAUGAAUCAAUGAUCGGACUACAAAGCACACAUUAUACAACCUCAUAUCUUUAUAUAGAUAACUACAGGAAAUUAACUUCCCAUACAUUCAGUACAACCAAUAUUCAUGGUUUGUUAAUUUUCCGAUGCUUAAGAGCUAAAUGAGCUAAUACUAACUCCGCUCCACCUCUAUCCAAUAAUUUUUACAUUCACCCCAUCUCUCUUUGCCUUAUCGUCUGUUUGUUUAUUAUUUUCUCGCACCUGCUUCUCUGAUUAUGGAGAAGAAAAAAAAAUUACAUUGUCAAAGUUUUUUUUUUCUUUGAGGAUUCGGUUGGUAUUGUAUUAUUUACUUUAGUGGUGCGAUAUUAAGGUAAUAAUUUGAAACUACGAUAGAGAAAAUACCUCAAGAAUUGGAAAGUUUAUCUUCUUCAAUGUUUUCAAGCUUCCCUGAAAUGAAUAAUCGCUUGAAUAUGGCUCUUCUUUGCAAAAGGCUCAUUAAAGCUCAUAUAUUUUUUUUUUUAAUUGAGCGGCUGGACAGAGGGAAGUACAGCUGCAGAUUCCAUGACUGGCUGUCUUUAAAACACUUUGUGAAACCUUGCUGGGGUGGAGUAAACGAGUAACCAAUGACCUGGUUUUAUAACAUUCACUAAGCAAAGUGGGUCAUGGAAGUGAUAAUUGAAAUAAACGUAUGCAAUAUUUAGACAGUAAUGGAGAGAAUAAGUUACGUUGACAGAGUUUAAAAAGAUAGAAAACACAAAUCGGUUGCAACUCAUCCGUUAUUGUCUAUGAGAAUUGUCUAUGGAAGAUGAA
Molecule: long non-coding RNA, 851 nt
Filed under: Eutrema salsugineum
Lineage: Eukaryota; Viridiplantae; Streptophyta; Magnoliopsida; Brassicales; Brassicaceae
Description: long non-coding RNA (ESAL_LNC000340)
Source: RNAcentral